Molecule: unclassified non-coding RNA, 206 nt
Filed under: Hevea brasiliensis (rubber tree)
Lineage: Eukaryota; Viridiplantae; Streptophyta; Magnoliopsida; Malpighiales; Euphorbiaceae
Source: RNAcentral
GGUCUCUAGUUGUUCACUAGUUGAAGCUCCUUGUUUUGUGUCAGCAUCAUUUACAUGCUUACCGCUGUCAACUCCAGGAGGUAACUCUGGCUGCAACCCUGAAGCAUGGGUUGACUGGCUAGCAGUAGUCGGCACUCCAGGUGGAGCUGCCACUGGGGCUACACCAGGAGGUCUAGUAUCAGGCAAUGUCACUGAAGAGAGAGGUG